GGAAAAACGGCUAUAAGGGUGCGCUGCCCAAAUACAUGCAAGUCGAGCGAACGGAUAAGGGAGCUUGCUCCUUUGACGUUAGCGGCGGACGGGUGAGUAACACGUGGGUAACCUACCUAUAAGACUGGAAUAACUUCGGGAAACCGGGGCUAAUGCCGGAUAACAUAUAGAACCGCAUGGUUCUAUAGUGAAAGAUGGUUUUGCUGUCACUUAUAGAUGGACCCGCGCCGUAUUAGCUAGUUGGUAAGGUAACGGCUUACCAAGGCGACGAUGCGUAGCCGACCUGAGAGGGUGAUCGGCCACACUGGAACUGAGACACGGUCCAGACUCCUACGGGAGGCAGCAGUAGGGAAUCUUCCGCAAUGGGCGAAAGCCUGACGGAGCAACGCCGCGUGAGUGAUGAAGGCUUUCGGGUCGUAAAACUCUGUUAUUAGGGAAGAACAUAUGUGUAAGUAACUGUGCACAUCUUGACGGUACCUAAUCAGAAAGCCACGGCUAACUACGUUGCCAGCAGCCGCGGUAAUACGUAGGUGGCAAGCGUUAUCCGGAAUUAUUGGGCGUAAAGCGCGCGUAGGCGGUUUUUUAAGUCUGAUGUGAAAGCCCACGGCUCAACCGUGGAGGGUCAUUGGAAACUGGGAAACUUGAGUGCAGAAGAGGAAAGUGGAAUUCCAUGUGUAGCGGUGAAAAUGCGCAGAGAUAUGGAGGAACACCAGUGGCGAAGACGACCUUUCUGGUCUGUUACUGACGCUGAUGUGCAGAAAGCGUGGGGAUCAAACAGGAAUUAGAUACCCUCGCUGGUGCACACCGUAGACGAACAAGUGUCAAGUGAUAUGGGGGUGUUCCGCGCCUCAAUUUCCUGGCGUCACGAAAUAAAUCAAUCACGGCUGGGGAGCCCGCCCCCAAGGGUUUAAAUAAAAGGGAUUGGGGGGGACCCGCCCCAACGGUGGAGCAUGGGGUUUAAUUUGAAGCAAAGGGAAGAACCUUACCAAAUUUUGACAUCCUUUGACCACUUUAAAGAAAGAGCUUUUCCCUUUGGGGGACAAAAAAACCGGUGGUGCCUGGUUGUUGUCAGUUUUUGUUUUGAGAUGUUGGGUUAAGUCCCGCAAAGAGCGCAACCCCUAAGUUUAGUUGCCAUCAUUAAGUUGGGCCCUUUAAGUUGAACCCCGGUGACAAACCGGAGGAAGGUGGGGASGACGUCAAAUCCUCCUKCCCCUUUUAAUUUGGGGGACCCCCCUGGUCCAAUGGGCAAAACAAAGGGCAGUUAAACCCCGAGGUCCAGCAAAUUCCAUAAAGUUGUUUUCCGUUUGGAUUGUAGUUUGCAAAUUGAUUACCUGAAGCGGGAAUCGUUUGUAAUUGUAGAUCAGCCUGUUUCGGUGAAUACGUUCCCGGGUUUUGUACCCCCCCCCCGUCACACCCCCAGAGGUUUAACCACCGAAGCCCGUGGGGCAACCAAUGGUGUUACGGCGCCCCCGGAGUGUCCCCCU
RNAcentral lists this ribosomal RNA (1484 nucleotides) under Staphylococcus gallinarum. RNAcentral describes it as "bacterial SSU rRNA". It matches the Rfam family "Bacterial small subunit ribosomal RNA". Lineage: Bacteria; Bacillati; Bacillota; Bacilli; Caryophanales; Staphylococcaceae. The record is from RNAcentral.